UGAUGAAGAUGUACUGUCUGAGUCUAAAUGAAAAUUGUCAAAACUUUCAACAAUGGAUCUCUUGGUUCCGGCAUCGAUGAAGAACGCAGCGAAAUGCGA
This 99-nucleotide ribosomal RNA is filed under the name Evansstolkia leycettana. RNAcentral's name for it is "[Talaromyces] leycettanus 5.8S ribosomal RNA". The stretch from base 42 to 99 matches the Rfam family "5.8S ribosomal RNA", at positions 1 to 58 of the family's 154-position model. Rfam says of the family: 5.8S ribosomal RNA (5.8S rRNA) is a component of the large subunit of the eukaryotic ribosome. It is transcribed by RNA polymerase I as part of the 45S precursor that also contains 18S and 28S rRNA. The record is from RNAcentral. Lineage: Eukaryota; Fungi; Ascomycota; Eurotiomycetes; Eurotiales; Aspergillaceae.